This 492-nucleotide ribosomal RNA is filed under the name uncultured bacterium. RNAcentral describes it as "partial 16S ribosomal RNA". It matches the Rfam family "Bacterial small subunit ribosomal RNA", at positions 29 to 507 of the family's 1533-position model. The record is from RNAcentral.
AGUGAACGCUGGCGGCAUGCCUAACACAUGCAAGUCGAACGGCAGCACAGUAAGUUCUUGCUGUUACCGAGUGGCGGACGGGUGCGUAAGACGUAUACACCGGACCCUACUUUUUGGUGGGGCAUAAGGUAGCGGGACUUACGCCAAUACCGCAUACCACCUACGAGUGAAGGCAGGGGAUCUUUGGCGCUUGCGCGAUUGCAUGAGCCGAUGUCGGAUUAGCUAGUUGGCGGGGUAAAGGCCCACGAAGGCGACGAUCUGUAGCUGGACUGAGAGGAUGAUCAGCCACACUGGAACUGAGACACGGUCCAGACUCCUACGGGAGGCAGCAGUGGGGAAUAUUGGACAAUGGGCGCAAGCCUGAUCCAGCCAUACCGCGUGUGUGAAGAAGGCCUUCGGGUUGUAAAGCCCUUUUGUUGGGAAAGAAACGCUGCAGCCUAAUACGCCGCGGGUCUGACGGUACCGGAAGAAUAAGCACCGGCUAACUACGUG